UACGGAGGGGGCUAGCGUUGUUCGGAAUCACUGGGCGUAAAGGGCGCGUAGGCGGCCAUUCAAGUCAGAGGUGAAAGCCCAAGGCUCAACCUUGGAAUUGCCUUUGAUACUGUUUGGCUUGAGACCGGAAGAGGUUAGUGGAACUGCGAGUGUAGAGGUGAAAUUCGUAGAUAUUCGCAAGAACACCAGUGGCGAAGGCGGCUAACUGGUCCGGUUCUGACGCUGAGGCGCGAAAGCGUGGGGAGCAAACAGG
This 253-nucleotide ribosomal RNA is filed under the name uncultured bacterium. RNAcentral's name for it is "partial 16S ribosomal RNA". It matches the Rfam family "Bacterial small subunit ribosomal RNA", at positions 524 to 776 of the family's 1533-position model. The record is from RNAcentral.